AAACCAACAGGGAUUGCCUCAGUAACGGCGAGUGAAGCGGCAAAAGCUCAAAUUUGAAAUCUAGCACCUUCGGUGUUCGAGUUGUAAUUUGAAGAUGGUAACCUUGGGUUUGGCUCUUGUCUAUGUUCCUUGGAACAGGACGUCAUAGAGGGUGAGAAUCCCGUCUGAUGAGAUGCCCAUUCCUAUGUAAGGUGCUAUCGAAGAGUCGAGUUGUUUGGGAAUGCAGCUCUAAGUGGGUGGUAAAUUCCAUCUAAAGCUAAAUAUUGGCGAGAGACCGAUAGCGAACAAGUACAGUGAUGGAAAGAUGAAAAGAACUUUGAAAAGAGAGUGAAAAAGUACGUGAAAUUGUUGAAAGGGAAGGGCAUUAGAUCAGACUUGGUGUUUUACGAUUAUCUUCUCUUCUUGAGUUGUGCACUCGUAUUUCACUGGGCCAGCAUCGAUUCGGAUGGCAAGAUAAUGGCAGUUGAAUGUGGCUUCACUUCGGUGGAGUGUUAUAGCUUCUGCUGAUAUUGCC
This 514-nucleotide ribosomal RNA is filed under the name Hansenula anomala. RNAcentral's name for it is "Wickerhamomyces anomalus partial large subunit ribosomal RNA". It matches the Rfam family "Eukaryotic large subunit ribosomal RNA", at positions 62 to 579 of the family's 3401-position model. Lineage: Eukaryota; Fungi; Ascomycota; Saccharomycetes; Phaffomycetales; Wickerhamomycetaceae. The record is from RNAcentral.